Labeo rohita (rohu) is the source of this 338-nucleotide long non-coding RNA. RefSeq lists it as uncharacterized. Lineage: Eukaryota; Metazoa; Chordata; Actinopteri; Cypriniformes; Cyprinidae. The record is from RefSeq and is a predicted model, not a curated record. The transcript is spliced from 3 exons.
CUGCUCUAAUGCAACGUUAUCAGCUGCUACAUCAUGAUACUGAGAGAGAGAUUUUUCUGCAUCCUUCCUGAGAUACAGCAUGAAAACCUCUUCUGUGUCAUUUCCCCAACUUGUUUUUCUACAAUGUAAGCUCACACUCAGAUGUGGCAGGAUAGCAGUGGAUUCAGGUUCCUCGCCAUGAACUGCCUCCUGCUAUCGGAGGAUCUGUCAGAGGAACACAGUGUGAAGGUUGAGCUCUCUGGCACAGCAAGCCCUCGCUGCUUGGUUUUCACACCAGGAGGCUGAAAGUGGUCAAAUUGUCAUCAGGUUCGAGGGGGAAAAAACAAUUUAUAAAAAGG